RNAcentral lists this ribosomal RNA (301 nucleotides) under uncultured bacterium. Its description in RNAcentral is "partial 16S ribosomal RNA". It matches the Rfam family "Bacterial small subunit ribosomal RNA", at positions 509 to 807 of the family's 1533-position model. The record is from RNAcentral.
CAGUCGCCACGGGAAUACAGAGGGUGCGAGCGUUAAUCGGAUUUACUGGGCGUAAAGCGUGCGUAGGCGGCUUCUUAAGUCGGAUGUGAAAUCCCUGAGCUUAACUUAGGAAUUGCAUUCGAUACUGGGAAGCUAGAGUAUGGGAGAGGAUGGUAGAAUUCCAGGUGUAGCGGUGAAAUGCGUAGAGAUCUGGAGGAAUACCGAUGGCGAAGGCAGCCAUCUGGCCUAAUACUGACGCUGAGGUACUAAAGCAUGGGGAGCAAACAGGAUUAGAUACCCCCGUAGUCCCUGUCUCUUAUAC